ACUCAGCUGACGAGUCCCAAAUAGGACGAUACGCACUUUGUCCUGGAU
This 48-nucleotide non-coding RNA is filed under the name Schistosoma margrebowiei. The record is from RNAcentral. Lineage: Eukaryota; Metazoa; Platyhelminthes; Trematoda; Strigeidida; Schistosomatidae.